RNAcentral lists this ribosomal RNA (397 nucleotides) under uncultured bacterium. RNAcentral's name for it is "partial 16S ribosomal RNA". It matches the Rfam family "Bacterial small subunit ribosomal RNA", at positions 338 to 732 of the family's 1533-position model. The record is from RNAcentral.
CCUACGGGUGGCAGCAGUGAGGAAUAUUGGUCAAUGGUCGCGAGCCUGAACCAGCCAAGUAGCGUGAAGGAGGACUGUCCUACGUAUUGUAAACUUCUUUUAUAAAGGAAUAAAGUCAGGCACGUGUGCCUUUUUGUGUGUACUUUAUGAAUAAGCAUCGGCUAACUCCGUGCCAGCAGCCGCGGUAAUACGGAGGAUCCGAGCGUUAUCCGGAUUUAUUGGGUUUAAAGGGAGCGUAGAUGGUUUGUUAAGUCAGUUGUGAAAGUUUGCGGCUCAACCGUAAGAUUGCAAUUGAUACUGGCAGUCUUGAGUAGAGUUGAGGUAGGCGGAAUUCGUGGUGUAGCGGUGAAAUGCUUAGAUAUCACGAAGAACUCCGAUUGCGAAGGCAGCUUACUAA